UCCUACGGGAGGCAGCAGUGGGGAAUAUUGCACAAUGGGCGCAAGCCUGAUGCAGCCAUGCCGCGUGUAUGAAGAAGGCCUUAGGGUUGUAAAGUACUUUCAGUCGGGAGGAAGGUGUUGAGUUUAAUAUGCUCAGCAAUGACGUUACCGACAGA
This 155-nucleotide ribosomal RNA is filed under the name uncultured Morganella sp. RNAcentral describes it as "partial 16S ribosomal RNA". It matches the Rfam family "Bacterial small subunit ribosomal RNA", at positions 337 to 485 of the family's 1533-position model. Lineage: Bacteria; Pseudomonadati; Pseudomonadota; Gammaproteobacteria; Enterobacterales; Morganellaceae. The record is from RNAcentral.